Molecule: long non-coding RNA, 4509 nt
Organism: Gorilla gorilla gorilla (western lowland gorilla)
Lineage: Eukaryota; Metazoa; Chordata; Mammalia; Primates; Hominidae
Exons: 3
Source: RefSeq, a predicted model, not a curated record
ACUCAACAUCAUUUUGAGGUUUCUUCAGUGGAUCUGUUUCAUUCAUUUGAAUUGCUUUAUAGAGUAUACUUUUUAUAAAUAAGCCACAUUUAUUUAUCUAACUGCCUUAUGAGGGAUACUGAAGUUGUUUCCACUUGUUCCCACUUGUUUGCAAUGUGGGUUGCAAUGAAUAUGGGUGUUUAUAUUAAUAUAUUUUCUCCUUGUUUAGCUGUAUACAGAAUUUCUCUAGUCUGGAAUUUGGAAUGUCUGGGCAUGAGGUCUCUGUUGCCCAGGCUGUAAUGCAGUGGUGUGAUCAGCUCACUGUAGCCUCUACCUCCCCAGCUCAAGCAAUUUUCCCACCUCAGCCUUCGGAGUAGCUGGGACUACAGGGCUUUUAGGAAUGUUGCAAGAUUCAAAGAAGAAGCAACCACAAUUCAAACGUUCUCCCGACCUCUUGUAAAAGCCGGAGAAGCGAGGAAACCCGGCAUUGUUGAGGGUGGGAGAGCGGAGCUGCCAGCUGCUGGGCCCCUGGAGCUGGGGGUGGCGCGGGCGGGGUUUGGGCGACCCUUUGGAGGAGAUCGCCGGUCCCCCAGCGAGGUGUGGAGGAUGAGAGCGCCUUAGGACCACCGCGAGCGACCACCCUGAAGAAGUCAGUGGAGGUCGUGACAGACUGCAAGCGAGACCCAUUCCAUUUCCAUCUGUGCUGCAACAGCGGAGGAGGAGAGACGACACACGACUUAGAUCACUCUGGGAGGGAGGGUCUGAAUUAAGGUGAUAGUCCGAGUUUGUGACCUGAGAUUCAUACUACAAACCCCGCGGAGAACAAGGAGGAUGACCGAGAGCUUUUGUCCCGUGCUUGUGAGCUGAAGCCAGGUGUUUGAAGUGUUUGAUCUUCUAGAAAGCCUUUGCCCACCUAAAGUAAUUGGGUACAGCUGAGGUUCUCAAACUUGAGCGUGCACCACAAUCACCCGAGGGGUAAUUAAAACCUGGAGUGCACUUUGGGAGGCCGAGGCGGGCGGAUCACGAGGUCAGGAGAUAAAGACCAUCCUUGGCUAACACGGUGAAACCCUGUCUCUACUAAAAAUACAAAAAAUUAGCCGGGCGUGGGGGCGGGCGCCUGUAGUCCCGGCUACUCGGGAGGCUGAGGCAGGAGAAUGGCCUGAACCCGGGAGGCGGAGCUUGCAGUGAGCCGAGAUCGCGCCACUGCACUCCAGCCUGGGUGACAGAGCGAGACUCCGUCUCAAAAAAAAACCAAAAACAACAACAACAAAAACACCUGGAGUGCUGGGGACCCCAUUCCCAGAGUUUCUGAUUCAGUGGGCCUGGGUUGGGGCCCGAGAAUGUGCAUCUCUAACAGGUUCUCAAGUGAAGCUGAUGCUGCAAGUCCCGGAACGGUGCUUCGACAACUGGUGAAUGCUAUGCUUUUCAGAUACUUUGAUAUCAAACUUUUGCAUGGCUGCAGCUACCUAAAGUGGUGUGUCAGUUUUACCAGAGGUUACUUUUCACUUCAUAUUGGCUUGGUUUAUUUUCAGAUUUAAGAGUGGAACGUUUGGAGUGUGUUAUUAAUAGAUCCAUUUACAAGGCUCAUUUGGAGGAAGCUGUUCCAGUGCUUUCACUUACUUUAUAGAUGACCAUAAUUUUUGGAGAUUUCCAUGAUAUAAUUAAAACUAUGUCUUGGUCAUUUGUGUGACCUGUUUCAGUUUAUAAAGUUUUCAUCUAUGUUAUCUUGUUAUGGUAUUGCUCUUAAUGUAAAUAUUUUAAAAUAUGUCUUUGUGUCUUUUUAGCAGCACUCCCAUGAGGUAGAGCGUUUGUUUUGCUUUUAUGGUGUUAGUCACAGAUCUAGGCUUAACUUCACAUUGUUUCCCAGUGAGUAUAUGUGCAGGUAACAUCAUAAAUGUUAUAAAAAGGGUGUGGUUACUGAAUAAUGAGAGGAAAACCCAGGCAAUACAAAGGAGUGUUAAUUAUAUGACUCUUUGAGACUUCAAAUACGUAGGCCUGCCCAGCUUGCUUCCUGGGAACCCUCCUUCCUGAUAAGCCUUCAAUUGGAAAGAGAAAGAGGCCUCAGCCAUAAAGGAAAACCUUUUUAGAGGGGUUCUGAGACCUAAAGGUCCAAGUUCCGGCAUUCCCUGAAGCCACAAGUUUUCUCUGCCUCACGGUUUCUCUGAAAUCAGUUAGUGACAAUCGAAGGCAGCCACGAAGAGGAAAAGUUAAAAAUAUGCAGACUAUGUGGCCCUGGAGAAGAGGAGAGAAGCAUUUUGAUCCAGUUUGCUUCAGUUAUAGGGAAGUUCCCAAGCUAACUAGAUUGGUGGGAUAGCACUUUUUAUUUUAUCUAUACAAUUUUUGUUAUUGUGCUUGAACUUACAUAGUAAAGUGAACAAAUAUUCAGUGUACAACUAAAUGAAUUCUUUAACAUAGAUGUAUUCACAAACAUACAUACUCACACUCACUCUUGUACCCACCUUCCAGAUUAAGAUAAUAGAGCAUUCCCAAAACCACAAAAGGCUGCCUUAUUCCUACUCCCAGCCAAUAACCCCAAAAGGUAACAGCUGCUGACUCUCUUGCCAUUGAAUGGUUUUACCUGUUCUUGAACUUUGUAUAAAUGGAAUCAUACAGUAUGUACUAUUUUGUGUCUGGCUUCUUUCGCUCAACACUAUGUCUGUUAAAUUCAUCUACACUGUUGCAUGUAGCAAGAGUUUGUUCUUUUUCACCUGCACCCUGAUCACCCCAUUUCCCCAGCCCCGGGAAACCAUUAAUCCACUUUCUCUCUAUAGAUCUGUCUAUUCUGAAAAUUUCAUAUAAAUGGAAUCACAAUAUUUUGUCCUUGUGACUGGCUUCUUGGCAUGUUUUCAAGGUUCAUUCAUGUUGUAGCCUACAUUAGUACCUCAUUUCCUUUUAUUGCUGAAAAAUACUGAGUAUACCACAUUUUAUUUAUCCAUUCAUCAGCUGAUGGGCAUUUGGGUUGUUUCCACCUUUUGGCAAUUGUGAAUAAUGCCACAAUGGACGUUUGUAUACAAGUUUUUGUGUGGACAGUGGAAAUAUGUUUUCAUUUCUCUUGGGUAUAUAUGUAAGAGUGAAACUGCUAGAUCAUAUGGUAACGAUAUUUAACUGGUUCAGGAGUUGUCGAACCAUUUUUCAAAGCAUCUGCACCGUUUUACAUUCCCACCUGCCAAAGCCAGUCAUUAGCAUUGUUUCUAUAGAUAUUAAAUUAACUAAAAGUAUCCCUUAUGGGAAACGAAGGGAUGGGGUGAAUUAAAGGAAUAGGUUGGGCUAGUUAACUGCAGCAGGAGCAUGUCCUUAAGGCACAGAUUGCUCAUGCUAUUGUUUGUGGCUUAAGAAUGCCUUUAAGUGGUUUACUGCCCUGGGCAGGCCAGGUGUUCCUUGCCCUCAUUCCGGUAAACCCACAACCUUCCAGCAUGGGCGUUAUGGCCAUCAUGAACAUGUCAUAGUGCUGCAGAGAUUUUGUUUAUGGCCAGUUUUGGGGCCAGUUUACAGCCAGAUUUUGAGGGGCUUGUUCCCAACACCCACCAGCAGUGUAUGAGGAUUCCAAUUUACCCACAUCUUCACCAAAGCUUGUUAUCUGUCUUUUUUAUUUUAGCCAUCCUAGAAGAUGUGAGUGGUAUCUUACUGUGCUUUUGGUGUACAUUUUCCUGAUGGCUAAUGCUAUUGAGUAUCUUUUUGUUUGCUCAUUGGUUAUUUGCAUAUCUUCUUUGGAGAAUGUCUCUUUAGAUCAUUUGCCUGUUUUUUAAAAAAUGGGUAGUUUGCCUUUUUAUUAUUGAAUUGUAAUAGUUUCUUAUAUAUUCUAGAUAUAAGUCCCUUAUCAAAUAUACAAUUUGUCAAAUUUUUAUCUCAUUCUGUGGAUUUUCUCUUCACUUUAUUUUUUAACUUUGAUUAAAUUAAUUAAUUCAUUUAGAGACAGGGUCUUGCUCUGUUGCCCAGGCUGUAGUGCAGUGGCGCAAUCAUAGCUCACUGCAACCCCAAACUCCUGGGCUCAAGUGAUCCUCCUGCCUUAGCCUCCCAAGUAGCUGGAACUACAGGUGUGUACCACCAUACCUGGCUAACUAAUCUUUUCACUUUUUUGAUAGUGUCCUUUGAUGCCCCAAAUUUAAAAAUUUUGAUAAUGUUUACCUUCUCUAAUUUUUCUUCUGUUGUUGUACUUUUGGCAUCAUAUGUAACAAACCCAAAGUCGUAAGAUUUAUGCCUAUGUUUUUUUCUAAGAGUUUUAUAGUUUUAGCUCUUACAUUUAGGUCUUUGUUCCAUUUUUGAGUUAAUUUUUGUAUAUAUUGUAAGGUAGAGGUCAAAUUUCAUUCUUCAUGUGACUAUCCAGUUGUCUCAUCAUCAUUUGUUGAAGACUAUUCUUUUCCCAUUGAAUUGUCUUGGCCCCCUGUCAAAAUCAGUUGAACAUCAUUGUGAGAGUUUGUUUCUGGACUCUCACUUCAAUUCAUCUGUAGGUCUAGCUUUAUGCCAGUACCACUAUCUUGAUUACUGUAGCUUUGUUGCUUUGUUGAAAGUUUUGAAAUCAGGAAGUUUGAG